AUUGAACGCUGGCGGAAUGCUAACNACAUGCAAGUCGAGCGGGGGUAGCAAUACUUCAGCGGCGGACGGGUGAGGAAUACAUAGGAAUCUGCCUUUAGGUGGGGGAUAGCUAGGGGAAACUCUGGGUAAUACCGCAUGAUCUCGCAAGAGCAAAGGGGCGCAAGUCUCGCCUUUAGAGGAGCCUAUGUCUGAUUAGCUAGUUGGCGGUGUAAUAGACCACCAAGGCAAUGAUCAGUAACUGGUCUGAGAGGACGAUCAGUCACAUCGGAACUGAGACACGGUCCGAACUCCUACGGGAGGCAGCAGUGGGGAAUAUUGGACAAUGGGCGAAAGCCUGAUCCAGCAAUUCCGCGUGUGUGAAGAAGGCCUUCGGGUUGUAAAGCACUUUAGUGGGGGAAGAAACAGCUUGGCCACACCAAGCCUUGACGGUACCCCAAGAAUAAGCACCGGCUAACUCUGUGCCAGCAGCCGCGGUAAUACAGAGGGUGCAAGCGUUAAUCGGAUUUACUGGGCGUAAAGGGUGCGUAGGUGGCUAAUUAAGUCGGAUGUGAAAGCCCGGGGCUCAACCUCGGAAUUGCAUUCGAUACUGAGUGGCUAGAGUUCGGUAGAGGGCGGCGGAAUUUCCGGUGUAGCGGUGAAAUGCGUAGAUAUCGGAAGGAACAUCAAUGGCGAAGGCAGCCGCCUGGGCCUGGACUGACACUGAGGCACGAAAGCGUGGGUAG
Molecule: ribosomal RNA, 722 nt
Filed under: uncultured bacterium
Lineage: Bacteria
Description: bacterial SSU rRNA
Rfam family: Bacterial small subunit ribosomal RNA
Source: RNAcentral